This 88-nucleotide non-coding RNA is filed under the name Bacillus sp. BK006. Lineage: Bacteria; Bacillati; Bacillota; Bacilli; Caryophanales; Bacillaceae. The record is from RNAcentral.
CUACGAUGGUGGUCGUAGUGUAUGUCAACUCGUCAAGGUAGAACGUUUCAGACUUUAGCGAGGAAUGAAACGAUUCGAUAGAGGCAUU